AUUGAACGCUGGCGGCAGGCUUAACACAUGCAAGUCGAACGGUAGCAGGGAAGUGCUUGCACUUUUGCUGACAAGUGGCGGACGGGUGAGUAAUGCUUGGGAAUCUGGCUUAUGGAGGGGGAUAACUACGGGAAACUGUAGCUAAUACCGCGUAAUAUCUUCGGAUUAAAGAAUGGGACUUUUACCCAUUCGCCAUAAGAUGAGCCCAAGUGGGAUUAGGCCAGCUGGUGGGGUAAAGGCCUACCAAGCCAACGAUCUCUAGCUGGACUGACAGGAUGACCACCCACACUGGAACUGAGACACGGUCCAGACUCCUACGGGAGGCACCCCUGGGGAAUAUUGCGCAAUGGGGGCAACCCUGACGCAGCCAUGCCGCGUGAAUGAAGAAGGCCUUCGGGUUGAAAAGUUCUUUCUGUGGUGAGGAAGGCUUAAGUGCUAAUAGUACUUAACAUCUGACGUUAGCCACAGAAGAAGCACCGGCUAACUCCGUGCCAACAACCGCGGGAAUACGGAGGGUGCGAGCGUUCAUCGCAAUGACUGGGCGUAAACGGCUCUCCAGCUGAUUGCUAAGUGAGAUGUGAAACCCCCGGGCUUAACCUGUGAAUUGCAUUUCAGACUGGCAAUCUAGAGUAUUUUAGGGAGGGGUAGAAUUCCACGUGUAGCGGUGAAAUGCGUAUAGAUGUGGAGGAAUACCGAAGGCGAAGGCAGCCCCUUGGGAAUAUACUGACGCUCAUGUGCGAAAGCGUGGGGAGCAAACAGGAUUAGAUACCCUGGUAGUCCACGCUGUAAACGAUGUCGAUUUGGGGAUUGGGCUUUAAGUCUGGUGCCCGAAGCUCACGUGAUAAAUCGACCGCCUGGGAGAGUACGGCCGCAAGGUUAAAACUCAAAUGAAUUGACGGGGGCCCGCACAAGCGGUGGAGUGUGUGGUUUUUUUCGAUGCAACGCGAAGCACCUUACCUACUCUUGACGUCCAUGGAAUCUUGUAGAGAUAUCAGAGUCCCUUCGGGACCCAUGAGACAGGUGCUGCAUGGCUGUCGUCAGCUCGUGUUGUGAAAUGUUGGGUUAAGUCCUGCAACGAGCGCAACCCUUAUCCUUUGUUGCCAGCGAUUCGGUCGGGUACUCAAAGGAGACUGCCAGUGAUAAAUUGGAGGAAGGUGGGGAUGACGUCAAGUCAUCAUGCCCCUUACGAGUAGGGCUACACACGUGCUACAAUGGUGCAUACAGAGGGAAGCAAUAUGGCGACAUGGGGCGAAUCUCACAAAGUCCAUCUAAGUCCGGAUUGGAGUCUGCAACUCGCCUCCAUGAAGUCGGAAUCGCUAGUAAUCGCGAAUCAGAAUGUCGCGGUGAAUACGUUCCCGGGCCU
RNAcentral lists this ribosomal RNA (1363 nucleotides) under uncultured bacterium. RNAcentral's name for it is "bacterial SSU rRNA". It matches the Rfam family "Bacterial small subunit ribosomal RNA", at positions 28 to 1381 of the family's 1533-position model. The record is from RNAcentral.